UCUCGUUGUUGCUAUUCUCAUACUUUUUUCUCAUCUGCUAGGUGUUUAACUGUGACUUUGAAAGAAGGAACGUUGUGUUUUUAAUAAGAAUUGUAAAUAGCCAGUUGACCUUUGCUAUUGAUUUUCAAGUCCGACUAUUCUGUUUUUUCAAGAAAAUGCUGGAAACAUCCUUCUACUUUUAUCUCAUUCAACCACUUUCAUGUGACGGAUGAAACUUGGCUUUGCGGCUUGUAUCUCUUUGAUUCUGUUAUUAUUGUUUGAAGACCUUAACUUUCUUUUGCUAAGAUAUUUCUCAUCGCCUUGAAAUGGUCUGAGUUAUAAUAGAGAAGUUGCAAUGCAAUGUUUUUUAUGUGUUCUUACAGAGGUUAUGGUGCAAGUGAUGUAUAUCCUUCUCAGCAUGGAAUCAUUAAGGACACUCAGGUUUGGUUCUUCAUUGGGCACCCAUUGUUUAUGCAGCUGCAAUAUCUGGUCAAAGUGUUGACAAGUUGUUCUUUUAAAGGUUUUCACAACUCCAAGGGAGGGGCACUUUACCAAAGAGGAGUUGGAUGAAGUUCGAGACAAUUGGGCUACUUAUUUCAACGAUUGUGAACUACCCUCAGUGUAAUAAAUAGAGCAGGCUUGUAGUUAUCCGUGACUCUUACAUUAUUUUGUUAUUUAUCGAUUUAAUUAAUUACAUUUGAAUUAA
Molecule: long non-coding RNA, 685 nt
Organism: Spinacia oleracea (spinach)
Lineage: Eukaryota; Viridiplantae; Streptophyta; Magnoliopsida; Caryophyllales; Amaranthaceae
Exons: 3
Source: RefSeq, a predicted model, not a curated record